CCUACGGGGGGCAGCAGUGGGGAAUAUUGGGCAAUGGGCGCAAGCCUGACCCAGCAACGCCGCGUGAAGGAAGAAGGCUUUCGGGUUGUAAACUUCUUUUAAGAGGGAAGAGCAGAAGACGGUACCUCUUGAAUAAGCCACGGCUAACUACGUGCCAGCAGCCGCGGUAAUACGUAGGUGGCAAGCGUUGUCCGGAUUUACUGGGUGUAAAGGGCGUGCAGCCGGGAAGACAAGUCAGAUGUGAAAUCCCGCGGCUCAACCGCGGAACGGCAUUUGAAACUGUUUUUCUUGAGUACCGGAGGGGGCAUCGAAUUUCUUGGUGUGGCGGGGAAAGGGGUAGAUAGAAGGAAGAACACGAGGGGAGAGGGGGGAUGCAGGGACGGAAAGUGACGGGGAGGCGCGAAAGCUUGGGGAGAAAACAGGAGUAGAUACCCGAGUAUUC
Molecule: ribosomal RNA, 442 nt
Filed under: uncultured bacterium
Lineage: Bacteria
Description: partial 16S ribosomal RNA
Rfam family: Bacterial small subunit ribosomal RNA
Source: RNAcentral